UUGAUUUUGACUUUUAUCCUACAUGGAUAACUGUGGUAAUUCUGGAGCUAAUACAUGCAUAAAAGAUAUUUCAUUUAUUGAAACAUUGCGUAUAUUAGUAUUAAAACCAAGCAUUCUUCGGAAUGUUUUGUGUUGAAACUGAAUAUAUCUGCUGAUCGUAUGGUCUUGUACCGACGACAUGUCAUUCAAGUGUCUGAUCUAUCAACUCUCUAUAUAAGUAUAUAGUACUUAUAUGGUUUUGACGGAUAACGGGGUAUUAGGGUACGACUCCGGAGAAAAUGCCUGAGAAACGGCGUUUACAUCCAAGGAAGGCAGCAGGCGCGAAAAUUACCAACUCUCAGUACGAGGAGGUAGUGACGAGAAAUGACAAGAUCUAUUCCUUCGGGGAUGGAUCAUUGGAAUGGUUUGAUUUUAAAAUCAUUAAAGAGUAUCAAUGAGAGGGCAAGUCUGGUGCCAGCAGCCGCGGUAAUUCCAGCUCUCAUACUGCAUUGAAUUGUUGUUGCGGUUAAAAAGCUCGUAGUUGGAUCUGUACAUGAUAGGUUGGUUUAUUCUUUACGGAAUAUAACUAAUACUAAAUGUUUUUUGUUAGAUUUUUUUAUGGUUUGUAAGAAUCAUAAAAUGUCUAGCGAGUUUACUUUGAAUAAAUCAGAGUGCUCAAAACAGGCGUAAGCUUGUAUGGUUUUGCAUGGAAUAAUAGAACAUGACUAUGGUUCAUGUUUUAUUGGUUUUACUUACCAUAGUAAUGAUUAAAAGGAACAAACGGGGGCAUCCGUAUCGCAUGGCGAGAGGUGAAAUUCGUGGACCCUUGCGAGACGAACUACAGCGAAAGCAUUUGCCAAGAAUG
This 844-nucleotide ribosomal RNA is filed under the name Panagrolaimus sp. AS03. Its description in RNAcentral is "SSU rRNA". It matches the Rfam family "Eukaryotic small subunit ribosomal RNA", at positions 115 to 966 of the family's 1831-position model. The record is from RNAcentral. Lineage: Eukaryota; Metazoa; Nematoda; Chromadorea; Rhabditida; Panagrolaimidae.